RNAcentral lists this unclassified non-coding RNA (3541 nucleotides) under Hevea brasiliensis (rubber tree). The record is from RNAcentral. Lineage: Eukaryota; Viridiplantae; Streptophyta; Magnoliopsida; Malpighiales; Euphorbiaceae.
AUUUAUUUCUCCUGAAGAACAAGAAAAUAAUGAAUGUCUAUAAUUGUAAGUAAAUCAAAUAAUUAAGAAUCAUCUUCAUGCCGGAAAACAAAUUUCUUGUUUGUAUUUUUUCUAUACAACAAAUACAGCAAAAUUACAUUACGCACUCUGAAUAUCUCCCGUCAAAACACUUAAACAAACAACUCAAUUCACACAAGUAUGGAGGAAAAACUCUUGAAUGAUCAAUUGGAUCUACUGAAUGUACUAUAAACUAUACCAUGAACUUCCCAACUAGUAGGUAAAAUCUGUCAAGAGUCAACUCAUUAGGUAUUGCCCACUGAUGAACUCAUCAUUUGGAUCUUAUUCACAAGCAAGUUUACUUGCUCUCUAUACAUUUCUUUCAAGUCUACAAUAUCAGCACGAAGUUCCUCCAACUCCUCAUCACGUUCACCCAUUAACUCCAGCGCAGCUGAGUGCCUCCGCCUUAAUGCUUCUAGUUCUGCUCGAAUGCCAGGCAACAAGGCAGACUCUGCCCGCAACUUUUCACACUGUGCUGUCAUUUUGACCAACUCCUCUGCAAGAGAGUCACGGAUUGAUUCCAUAGAUGUCUGAAGCACAUAAAAGAGUAAAUAAUUGAUCAAGCUGAAUACGAAAUAGAAUGACAGGUUAUAUCCCCAUAAAUCUAUGGAAUUGUUCCAAUGUCUCAUAGCUCUAGACACCAGGCCCAUUAAGGACAAGAUAGCAUACAGCAAGAAUAUAUGUGGUGACAAAACAUAUGUCAAACACGGUUCAAAAGAAUAAAGCAUACCAAACGAGACAUGUAUGAUGCAAGUUCGCCCUCUUUCUGACGAAGAGCAGCUUCAAAAGCACUAGGUGUCAUACUCUUCAUGUAGUAUGGGCUCAUGGUUGCCCCUGCAGGGUUUCUUCUCUCAAAGAAACUGUCAGAUGUGUCCAAAGAUGCUUGCAGAAAAUAGCUCUCCUCCAUGCUGCCUAGGCUGCUAGCACUUGAGAACUUUCGGUUCAAGUUUCCAUUCUCAAAACCAGAAUUGCUCUUUGCUGUGGGAGUUUGAUCAGAUGCAGCAGUAGAAUGCAUACGAGCUGUCUUUUCCAGAUCCAAUCGAGCAGCUUUUUCCCUCUCAAUUUCCUGCUGUAGAAGCUCCCUGUGAAUCAGGGCAUCUUGUAACUCUUGCUUGUGUUUCUGCCUGAGUUCUUUAAUUUCUUCUUCUAGUUGGUUCACACGACCUUCUUGAGUGUCAGCCUCCUCCUUGGCUGCAAGGUAUUCCUGCCUAUUUUCAGCUGCUCUCUGUCUCUCUUUUUCAAGGGACUUACUUAACUGCGUCUGCUCUGCUCUAAGACAGGAAAUCUGAGCUUCCAGAACAUUAAUUCGAGAUAAGGUUUGUGACAAGCGUUCAUUCACAGAUCGCUCUCUUUCCUCAGCAGCUGCAGCUUUGGCCUCUGCUUCCUGGAGUCGAGAAUUUAGAGAUCUCUCCACAGCAGACCAAGCUUCAGCCCUUCUGGCCAUUGUUUCCUGCAUCGCUUCUAUCUGCCUUAGAAGAGGCCUUGUAGAUUCAGGUACUUGAGUAACCAAUUCCUCACACCGGCGCUCACUUGCUUGAUAACGCUUUUGAAGGUCUUCAAUGUCCCUACGAAGCAUGUCUUCUCUAAAAACAGCCUGCUGCUCCUUUCUACUCAAAGUUUGUCUUAAUUCUUCAAGUGCCUGAACUAGCAUAUUCUCACGCUCCCCGGCCUCUCUCAAACGACUCUCCAAUUCAGUUCUAGCUUCAUUAUUGGCACGUGCCUCUGCCAAUGCUUCAGCCUCCUUAGCUGCAGUCAAAGCAUUUGUAUAAUACUCUUUCUGUCCUGCAAGUUCUGCUUGGUGUUUUUCUAUUGUCUCUUGCAGCAACUUCUCUGUAGCUGUCUUGUCCUUCUUGAUACUCUCUACUUUAUUCUCUUCCACCUGAAGUUUGGUCAUCAAGCCUUUCUUCUCCUCUUCAAGCUCUCUAAUCUGAGCCCUCAAUUUCCUCAUUGUAGACUCUUGAGCAGCCUGCUUCUUUGAAAGCUCUUCACCUUCAGCCAUAACCUGAGUGAUAAUUUCAUCUUUUUCCUUCAAAAGAACAGCUGCAUCACUUUUCUUAUUCUGCUCUCUCCGGAGUGUAUCCCUUUCCUUCGUAAGAGCAUAAACCUUUCUUUCAAGGGUUGCAGCCCUUUGAUGGUAUUCCUCUCUUAAUGACUCAAUUUCAGCAUCAUUAGAUUUUCUCUUCAAAUUGUCAAUCACAGCUUUCAGAUGCUCAUUUUCAUUCAUCAACUUUGCAAUCUCAUCAGCCUUUGCCUGAGCUUGCCUUGCAGCACCUUGCAAUGCAGUUUCCAUCAUUUUCAUCUCCAUCCUCACCUUUUCUAAUUCAACCACUGAAUCUAAGGAGUCAGACACAUUUGAUGCUGAACUCAAGCGUUGCUCUUUAGUAUCAAUCUCACCAUCAUUGACUUGCCUGACCUCGCCAACUGUCUUGACAUUCACAUCAUUUUCAUCAGAAACUCUUUCAGGAACCAUAUCAGGAACCUCAUCUGAGGGAACUGCAGUAGGGAAAGAAAUUUCACGAGCUAUCUGUGUCUCUUCAGCACUGACUGGCGAACCAGAUUGAUUAACUGCAACUCCAGCUUGAGUAUCACUUGACGUCUCAAUUUGGGCAUCAUUUGGGAUUUCAGCCAGAACAGAAGAACCUUUUUCUAUAACCUCCUCUUUUUGCAUCUUAUGUUCAUCUUUGCUCUCAUGCCUAUCAAAAACUGUAUAUGACUCAUCAAGCACAACAGUAUCAUCCUCAUCCCGAUCAACUUGGACAAACCCUGUCUUGACCUCCAAUGACUCUGAAUUUUCAGCAGGCCCCACUUCUAAGAUCUCCUUCUGCAGACUGUCAACUGAAUCCACUGUCGUAACAUCAUGAAGAACAGGUUCACGAGGUUCAACAUCUACAGAUUGUGAUUCAGACUCGGGUUUGACUGGGUCUAAAAUCACAGCAUCAACUUUCUCUGCAAUCUCCGGAUGCUCUUCUUUUUCAUUUAUGAGCAAUUGAUUUUCUUUUUCAACUGUAGGUUGUUCGGUAGCAGAAUCUUGUGUCACAUUUUCGUCAACUGUAGAUGAUUUCUGAGCAGAUCCAAUUUUUGCUGAAGAUUCAGUACCCUCGCUUUUGUUUCCCAUAAAGGACAUAACAGGCCAUAGUCCUUCGCUGCUAGACUCGGACUUCUCCUCCAACCCAAGAGCGCUAUCAAAAUUCUUCUCGAUAUUCUUGACGCUCUCGCUUAGCUUAUUCACCGCACCAGCAAGAUCCGGGAAGUUCCCCAAGGAAACCUUCCCGCUAAACCAUGCCAUCUAUUAAGCGCAACCAAUUCAAGAACUCAAUCCAAUACUCACAUCAAUACCCCUUGAGUUGGGAUUCCAAGCAUAGCUGGGGUGUUUCCCUCCCUCUGUUUUUGGUUGAGCAAUUGAUAAUUUAUCUCGUAGUGAUUUUUAGGGAAGAGUCACAGAUGGUUAAGUUCGGUCUAGAAAUUGACAACCCCAAUUACAAGG